RNAcentral lists this ribosomal RNA (233 nucleotides) under uncultured bacterium. RNAcentral's name for it is "partial 16S ribosomal RNA". It matches the Rfam family "Bacterial small subunit ribosomal RNA", at positions 124 to 353 of the family's 1533-position model. The record is from RNAcentral.
ACCUGCCUUAUAGUGGGGGAUAGCCUUUCGAAAGGAAGAUUAAUACCGCAUAAGAUUGUAGUAUCGCAUGAUAUAGCAAUUAAAGGAGCAAUCCGCUGUAAGAUGGACCCGCGUCGCAUUAGCUAGUUGGUGAGGUGAUGGCUCACCAAGGCGACGAUGCGUAGCCGACCUGAGAGGGUGAUCGGCCACAUUGGGACUGAGACACGGCCCAGACUCCUACGGGAGGCAGCAUG